UAGGGAAUCUUCGGCAAUGGGGGCAACCCUGACCGAGCAACGCCGCGUGAGUGAAGAAGGUUUUCGGAUCGUAAAGCUCUGUUGUAAGUCAAGAACGGGUGUGAGAGUGGAAAGUUCACACUGUGACGGUAGCUUACCAGAAAGGGACGGCUAACUACGUGCCAGCAGCCGCGGUAAUACGUAGGUCCCGAGCGUUGUCCGGAUUUAUUGGGCGUAAAGCGAGCGCAGGCGGUUUGAUAAGUCUGAAGUUAAAGGCUGUGGCUCAACCAUAGUUCGCUUUGGAAACUGUCAAACUUGAGUGCAGAAGGGGAGAGUGGAAUUCCAUGUGUAGCGGUGAAAUGCGUAGAUAUAUGGAGGAACACCGGUGGCGAAAGCGGCUCUCUGGUCUGUAACUGACGCUGAGGCUCGAAAGCGUGGGGAGCGAACAGGAUUAGAUACCCUGGUAGUCCACGCCGUAAACGAUGAGUGCUAGGUGUUGGAUCCUUUCCGGGAUUCAGUGCCGCAGCUAACGCAUUAAGCACUCCGCCUGGGGAGUACGACCGCAAGGU
Molecule: ribosomal RNA, 548 nt
Filed under: uncultured bacterium
Lineage: Bacteria
Description: partial 16S ribosomal RNA
Rfam family: Bacterial small subunit ribosomal RNA
Source: RNAcentral